GCUUCGGCCCUUCUGUAUGAAAAAGCCUAUACGCAGUUUGUGUUUUGUUUUGCAUUCGGCCCUAUUUUUGUUGUGAGAUUUCAACGCAUAGUGGCGAAUAAUCACUGGCCAUCUCCGGUUAAGUACGUUUAUGCAAAUUAAAUAUUUUAGAAACAGCCAGUUCUGCAGUUGCUGCUGCGAAGAUGAUCCCCGCCGUACGCGAGAGACUCGACGGACGACCGAAAAAAACUACGAUGCUACCUGCAUAAAUAACACCACAAACUAUACAGACACCACGCGUAGAACAAAAAGCUCAAAAUCUAAGGUACCAGAUUCAUUUGAAGUGAGUGAAUCUCGUCCCUUACUUAGCUCACGUAUUGUGUGGCUCUCAAGACUACCUUUCUCUCUUACUCUGCUAGAAAUCUAAAAAUUUACUCACGAUAAAACUAAGCAACCUGAUAAAAUUGUUUAUGAUUUUCUUCAGUUAAUGUCUGCAAAGCUGAUUCAAUUAUUUAGGAAAUGAAAAGCUAGAGAAAACACGGUGUAGUGUUUCAAACAAUAUAAUAUCGCAGCAGUGAAUCCUUAGCGAUAAAUUUCUAUUAUAGCAACACAAACAUUUGGAUUGCCAAUUUUUUUCGUUUUACAACGACAUGGUUCGGCAAUUGACAAAGCUUGAUCGGACUGGACCAGGAUAUCCAUCAGCGAUAAAAAGAUAUCAGGACAUGCAAAAUGGCCUAACGAAUAGUGUGGAUUAUGACGACACACAACCAAAAACUUGGAUGGGACUAUCAUCAUCGCAAAUUUCUCCUUGUCCAACUACAGCAGUGGCUGAGCUUCGGUCCAAUUUGAUCGAGAUCACAAAAAGGAGUAAUAGAUGU
Molecule: long non-coding RNA, 857 nt
Organism: Sabethes cyaneus
Lineage: Eukaryota; Metazoa; Arthropoda; Insecta; Diptera; Culicidae
Exons: 3
Source: RefSeq, a predicted model, not a curated record